Non-coding RNA from Phrynosoma platyrhinos (Desert horned lizard), 72 nucleotides. The record is from the annotation of a GenBank genome assembly. NCBI's taxonomy places the organism in Eukaryota, Metazoa, Chordata, Lepidosauria, Squamata, Phrynosomatidae.
AGCAGCAUGGCAUAGCGGUUUGAGUGUUAGACCAUGACUCUGGAGACCAUGGUUCAAUUCCCAGUUUGGCCA